CAGUCGCCGCGGGAACACGUAGGUGGCAAGCGUUGUCCGGAAUUAUUGGGCGUAAAGGGCUCGCAGGCGGUUUCUUAAGUCUGAUGUGAAAGCCCCCGGCUCAACCGGGGAGGGCCAUUGGAAACUGGGAAACUUGAGUGCAGAAGAGGAGAGUGGAAUUCCACGUGUAGCGGUGAAAUGCGUAGAGAUGUGGAGGAACACCAGUGGCGAAGGCGACUCUCUGGUCUGUAACUGACGCUGAGGAGCGAAAGCGUGGGGAGCAAACAGGAUUAGAUACCCCAGUAGUCCCUGUCUCUUAUAC
RNAcentral lists this ribosomal RNA (301 nucleotides) under uncultured bacterium. RNAcentral's name for it is "partial 16S ribosomal RNA". It matches the Rfam family "Bacterial small subunit ribosomal RNA", at positions 509 to 807 of the family's 1533-position model. The record is from RNAcentral.